This 225-nucleotide long non-coding RNA is filed under the name Bos taurus (domestic cattle). Its description in RNAcentral is "long non-coding RNA NONBTAT013472". Lineage: Eukaryota; Metazoa; Chordata; Mammalia; Artiodactyla; Bovidae. The record is from RNAcentral.
CAACUAUUUCAAGACCAUAAACAGAACUGAGUGUUCACCAAAAACUAAAUCUAAAAAUUCUGAGUGAAGAAUAAAUGAGAGGUUUUCUUCCUCCUACUUCUCUCCCUCUUCCUUUUCCUUCCUUUUCUGUUACUUAAUAUUAUUGUUAUUAUUGUUAUUUUCUCUAAUCUGGAAAAAUAAUAGCUUGUUAGCCUAGCCUGUCUAAGUGGGACUUUUACCUUUGUU